GACGAACGCUGGCGGCGUGCCUAAUACAUGCAAGUAGAACGCUGAAGGAGGAGCUUGCUCUUCUGGAUGAGUUGCGAACGGGUGAGUAACGCGUAGGUAACCUGCCUGGUAGCGGGGGAUAACUAUUGGAAACGAUAGCUAAUACCGCAUAACAGUAGAUGUUGCAUGACAUUUGCUUAAAAGGUGCAAUUGCACCACUACCAGAUGGACCUGCGUUGUAUUAGCUAGUUGGUGGGGUAACGGCUCACCAAGGCGACGAUACAUAGCCGACCUGAGAGGGUGCUCGGCCACACUGGGACUGAGACACGGCCCAGACUCCUACGGGAGGCAGCAGUAGGGAAUCUUCGGCAAUAGACGGAAGUCUGACCGAGCAACGCCGCGUGAGUGAAGAAGGUUGUCGGAUCGUAAAGCUCUGUUGUAAGAGAAGAACGAGUGUGAGAGUGGAAAGUUCACACUGUGGCGGUAUCUUACCAGAAAGGGACGGCUAACUACGUG
This 495-nucleotide ribosomal RNA is filed under the name uncultured bacterium. RNAcentral's name for it is "partial 16S ribosomal RNA". It matches the Rfam family "Bacterial small subunit ribosomal RNA", at positions 28 to 507 of the family's 1533-position model. The record is from RNAcentral.